AGAGUGGGGGUUUGAGUCAAGAAUGACUUGCCGGAUUUACGUCAAAGGUAAUAGGUGAUUAGCCGGCUUUCAUUUAAUAUUACCCGGCUUUCAUUUAAUCUUUCGGCAAGUUGUUCUUGAUUCACCUUUGCUCUCU
This is a non-coding RNA of Gossypium raimondii (Peruvian cotton), 136 nucleotides long. Lineage: Eukaryota; Viridiplantae; Streptophyta; Magnoliopsida; Malvales; Malvaceae. The record is from Rfam.